Salvelinus namaycush (lake trout) is the source of this 3865-nucleotide RNA transcript. It is a transcript of the gene named small membrane A-kinase anchor protein-like, with no coding region annotated. The record is from RefSeq and is a predicted model, not a curated record. Lineage: Eukaryota; Metazoa; Chordata; Actinopteri; Salmoniformes; Salmonidae. The transcript has 3 exons.
AGCCGCCAUUAGAAAGUGAAGUCAAACAGGCAACAAUUUCAACGAUGACCUAUGGGUAAUCUCGAGUAGAAUGAUGGCAAGAAGUUGUCGUCAUCCAGGUCCAGGACUAUUCAUGGGUUUGAGACCUUAAACCGAUUUAGCAUUUAGUUAAAUUACUGCACAAUGUGGUAUGGUGCAACAUUGGAUGCCCAGUUUGGUAACGUAGUGCACAUUUCGUGCAGAGAGAGAAACUGACCAAUAAUGUCGCUGCCUUCCAAGCUUCAAGUUCAAAUCAUUGGACGCAUAUGCAGCGGUUUGAAGCCGAUAAGGAGAUUGAAUAGAAAGGAGAGGCGGCACAUAUAGUAAUUUCGGUUCACAAUCCGUGUGGAUGUAUGACACUUCUUUAUUGAAAUCGACGGUAGGGGAAUGUGUCGUUAAAGAGAAAACGAGGAUGUGAUUUCCCACUGGGUGAAUUUGAUAUUCAUGGGGGUAAACUCACCCAGUCCUACUUUUCCAAGAGCCCUCUUGAAGGUAGGGUUUACAGGGUCGAGUCCCAUGAUACCUGGGCUAGAGCGACAUGCUUGCCACGUUCCAUGCUUGAGCUAAAUGCUACAUUGCCACGUUCCUUAUAGGCUACCUGGGCUAGAGCGACAUGCUUGACAUAAGCACAUGGAAAAGAUCUGUGUAGGGGAGUACAGGAGCAUGGCUGACCGUCUGGACUAUUUCAGCGAAGCUCGGUCCAGACAAGAAUCGGCUUCCUAGCCAUCACUUCUCGACCAAAGCCUAAGCCCCUCUCAGACACACUCCUGCUUCACCAGCUCCCUGAAAUCAAUGCUACACUAUUUAUAUCAUGGGAUGCGUCAAAUCCAAGAAGAGCGAUCCGACCCAGUACGCCAACUCUGUGGAGAAGGUGGACGGCAAGCUUGGGAAGCGAUGGGGCGAGAAUGCGCUGCUGGUCCACUCGGAGACGGGGUCAGGGAAAGACUCUGCCCGGGUGGACCCCAUCCUGCUGGAGUAUGCCCAGCGGCUGUCGGAGGAGAUUGUGGCCCGGGCAGUGCAGCAGUGGCUGGAGGUGGACAGCCGCUACAGUGACAUCCCCUACAUUGAGUGUGACGUGCCAUGAGGGGGGGGCAGAGGCAGUGCAAGAGGCAUUUCUGUUCUGGGAUUCACCUUGACCCUUUGGGGAGAGGAGGACAAAUGGAUGCCCAGAAGACAGGAGACCGGACAGCACUCAGAUUCAGGGUGAAACAAAACACUACGAACAUGUACCAGCUGGAGAUGACAAGAUGUUGAUCCCAAUCUAUGGUCCAAAGCCAUUUUUCUGUUUAAUUAAUACAUACUUGGAUGUUGUAACUCAUCUGGUGACAUUUUGACCUUGACUAACAGACAAAGACCUUGGCUACUCCUCUCAUAUUCAAUCUAGACCAUGUGCUUCCCUCUAUCGUUAGCUAGAGGAUGAGAGUUGGGGUGUGUUUGGUUAAACCGGCUUGGGAGCCAAUAAAGCAGGAGAGUAUCAUUGAAUCCUGCUUUGAAAAUUACCGGUUCUGCCUUUCAGUAAAAGUAUACCGUUUUUUUUUUUUUGCUUGACGCGUGCCACAUCAUGGGGCCAAAUUUCAGGUCCUAUGUAGGAAAUUAUUAAUUGGCCCCUCAAGUGUUUUUCACUUGAAAUGUUUGCUGGGGUCAGCAGGUACACACCUCCCUCUCUAUCUGUCUUCUCAGGCAGAAGCUCCCAGGUUAGGGAUAUUGGAUAAUGGUGUCCCAGGGGGCCUGUGGUCCACAUCCACCAACAAAGGAAACUCAUUCUUCAAACUACCCAUGAAGUAGGUCCGGGACGAUACCAGUAUCGCGAUAUUCGUUAGUAUCGUGGCAAGGAAACAAAACAUGAAGCGAAUUUAACUUCAGCCCUGAUGUUGGAAACAAAAAUCAUUAUGUUGUUAUCCAGAGUCCCGUUCAUUUAUUUUCCAAGCUAUAGCACACAAUAUUUUACAUACAGCAGGUUUUUAAAGGACCAAAGAGCUUCGUGUUUUCAUUUUUGCCAUGGAAAGAAUAUCGCGAUACUGGUAUCGUCCUGGCCCUACCAUUAAGCAGGUCUGCCCACGAGCUGCAGCAUCCUAGGACCUGACUACGGUCACUUUGACAAAAUGAUGCUCGAGGAAUGUUUUACAGAGGUUCAGCGUCCUCCCAUUUUGUGAAUUUGAAUGCCAAUGACAAUAGGACAUUCCUGAGGGCUGGCUAGGUCCGCAUGCCAUGAGUAAAUCAGGACGGAUUCACACACUUUUACCGUGACUUUUCUUCUGGGCACAAAAAGUGUGCUGGGUUCACAAAUACCUUUUGUUUUGGCCAAAAUGUCUAGGGCCAAGCACCCUGGUUUUUACGUACUGUCUUCUAUCCAAUGAUGAACUACUGCCAUCUGCCCCAUAGAAUUUACAGCACAAAUAUGCAACUCUAAAAGGCCAUGCUAUUUUUAUUAAGAGCAAAUGGCUUCUUAAUAGUACGAUGCUAUUUUAACAGGCCAAAGACACACAUACUCACAAUAGAGAGUUGAGUUGUUUGGAAUAGGGGACCACAACUGCCAAAGUCCUUAAUGAAUGCUAAUACAAGCACAAUAUGUUUGAUGGGCUUUCUUAUGACGUUUAUUUGAUAGAAGGCGAUAUUAGUGAGUUUUAGUCAUAGCACGUCAGUUCCCACCCUACCACAAACGAUGUUCAAGAAGCUUUAAAAGGUGCAUUAGUCUAGGCUGGGCAACAUGGUACAUUUCCAGAGCGUUAAUUAGGGUGCUAUUGUAUACACCACAAAGAACAAGUGGACAUUAUUUGACUGGAAAAUCAAGUUUUGCUGAAGUUUGGAAUGUGUAUCUCAAGUGAGAAUUCAGCUGGCAGGGCAUUAGGUUUGCUCAGCAAAAAAUGUGGUGGUGUGCUUUAAAUGCGACACCAAACAUCCAUUAUAGUUAAAAGCAACAAAUACUGUUUAUAAUGACAUUUGCACUAAUCUGGGUUGAGAGAUGAAUCUCUUGAACCAUCCCAAAAAUUCUGUAAACAAAUUUAAAAGCCUGUCGAAUGCCUCCGUCGAAACAGUUUGCGCGUAUAUUACAACAACAUUUUGUGACGUUAUUCUUUGUUUUGUGUUUUUUUUUUUUUGUCUGUUCGCGCACACAAACAUUUUUCUUGAGGCAAGUUUAAGUUCGGUAGCCCAAGUAUAUGCCCCUUUGUCGGUGAUUGGUGCUACUCCUAGUAGCAGUGGGAACUAUAGACAGGAUUCUUGAAUGAGAGACGACAAAUUUUCAUGCACAUUUUCUCACUUGAGAAAUACUGCACCAAACAUCUUAGUUAGAUGUAAAAUUACUAAGACCUCCUCAGCAAAAAUGCCAACAUUAAUUACUAAUAAUUCUUGAUUUAUCUUCGAUUAAUUCUGACUCUUUUGAGGAAGUGUUAUUGGCUAAGUUGUUGCUACGGCAUCUCAAGAGGGUCAAACUAUAAUAUUGCUGCUGCUUUCUUGUUUUUCAAGCAAAGGUCUUUUAAGGGAGUUUGCUAGUAGCAAACCAAACCUAGUUUGUGGGCCCAUUUAGCGGUGACCCAAUUUUUUCCCCAUACUGAAUUCCUUAAUCUAAGAACUGGGAGGUGGAGGGUUUAGAAACAGAUCACUGUUAUCACUGCUUCAGCUAAAUGUUUUAACAACUUAUAGAUAAAGCUGUAAAAAACAAUACAUUCAAAAGUUGUUUUCCAUUAAGCUUGAUUUUGACUCCAAUAAAUUGGUUGAUAAAAGUAAUGUUUUAGUAUGCAGAAGACAGCUGGCACUACAGUAUAUACUGUAUACAAUGCAUUCGGAAACUAUUCAGACCCCUUGACUUUUUCCACAUUUUGUUACGUUACAGCCUUAUUCUAAAAUG